CGCGCAGAUAGCGGGUAGUGGCGCCGUUUGGCGCUGUCACGGCCGUGGGCUGGCCGUCGAUAUCGCGUUCGAAGCGGGUUUCCGUGU
RNAcentral lists this transfer RNA (87 nucleotides) under Janthinobacterium sp. HH100. RNAcentral's name for it is "tRNA-Asp". The record is from RNAcentral. RNAcentral also lists the same sequence under 2 other names. Lineage: Bacteria; Pseudomonadati; Pseudomonadota; Betaproteobacteria; Burkholderiales; Oxalobacteraceae.